GCUGAGGUGGGGGACCCCUGAGGAGCCGAGAGCUGACUUGGGGGUCUCCCUUUCCAUGGUCUCGUUACAGUGGCAAUGCCUCAGGAGGAUCUGGGAGAGGAAGCGGCAGUGGCGUAUUAGUAGGUGGAGGUGGAAGCGGAGGCAUAAGAGGAGGUAGCUUCGGGGGAGGAAGCGGAACUGUCGGGGGAGGAAGUGGCGGCGGCAGCAGCAGCAGCUUUGGUGGCGGGAAGUCGUCGCAGGCGCAGGGAUCGGUGAUCCCCCCUCAACCUCCAGUUCAGCACGAGGACCGACAUGGGAGCCUGAAGAGAUACUAGGAGCUGAGUAGCAGCACCUCAACUUGCUUGCCAGUGCAGCCUGAGCACUAGCCCUUCCUGGCAUGCCCACCAUAGCAGAGCUUGGUUCAGGAUGGCGGGAGAAGCACACCUUUGCCCUCUUCCCUCCCUGCCUUAGCCUUGCAGGGGCAGACUGGUCUGAGAACACCCAUGAGCUUGUUACUUCCUGCCUAGGUCCAGCUGCCCUGGCCCCUCCUAUUCCCUCCCUCUGGAAUUUUCUGAGUCCUGCUACCUGUUGCAUCUCAAAUAAACUUUCUUGCUACAAACUGAA
Ornithorhynchus anatinus (platypus) is the source of this 603-nucleotide long non-coding RNA. RefSeq lists it as uncharacterized. The record is from RefSeq and is a predicted model, not a curated record. The transcript is spliced from 2 exons. Lineage: Eukaryota; Metazoa; Chordata; Mammalia; Monotremata; Ornithorhynchidae.